Molecule: unclassified non-coding RNA, 344 nt
Filed under: soil metagenome
Description: partial contains 5.8S ribosomal RNA, internal transcribed spacer 2, and large subunit ribosomal RNA
Rfam family: 5.8S ribosomal RNA (bases 1-120)
Source: RNAcentral
GAUGAAGAACGUAGCGAAACGCGAUAAGUAAUGUGAAUUGCAGAAUUUAGUGAAUCAUCGAACUUUUGAACGCACAUUGCGCCCGCCAGUAUUCUGGCGGGCAUGCCUGUUCGAGCGUCAUUUCAACCCUCAAGCCCCCGGGCUUGGUGUUGGGGAUCGGCGUGCCCUCGCGGCGCGCCGUCCCCUAAAUCUAGUGGCGGUCUCGCUGUAGCUUCCUCUGCGUAGUAGCAACACUCGCACUGGAUCGCAGCGCGGCCACGCCGUUAAACCCCCCACUUCUGAAAGUUUGACCUCGGAUCAGGUAGGAAUACCCGCUGAACUUAAGCAUAUCAAUAAGCGGAGGA